Molecule: Y RNA, 113 nt
Organism: Heterocephalus glaber (naked mole-rat)
Lineage: Eukaryota; Metazoa; Chordata; Mammalia; Rodentia; Bathyergidae
Rfam family: Y RNA
About the family: Y RNAs are components of the Ro ribonucleoprotein particle (Ro RNP), in association with Ro60 and La proteins.
Source: Ensembl
GGCUGGUCCGAAGGUAGUGAGUUAUCUCAAUUGAUUGUUCACAGUCAGUUACAGAUUGAACUCCUCGUUCUACUCUUUCCCCCCUUCUCACUACUGCACUUGACUAGUCUUUU